Medicago truncatula (barrel medic) is the source of this 1198-nucleotide long non-coding RNA. RefSeq lists it as uncharacterized. Lineage: Eukaryota; Viridiplantae; Streptophyta; Magnoliopsida; Fabales; Fabaceae. The transcript is spliced from 4 exons. The record is from RefSeq and is a predicted model, not a curated record.
AUUCCUAAUCCUAGUUAACACUCCAAUUAUCACUCCAAAACCCUAAUCCUAAAGUUUUAGGCGCCAACUAAUUAUGGCCCUUGGAUUGAUCCAGCCCUUUAUAUCAAACUUUGUGAAACGCGUGCAUAGUUCCAAUGUUUGCAUUGUUAAUUCCAAUGCUUUGGUUACCAAUGUAAUGCAUAUAGUAAAACAACAACCUCUCCAACCCACCCUCUUCAUCGUCGCUUUCUCUCCUCCCUCUCUUUUCCUCUUCCACAAAUUCUCACUCAAGCCUUUUAGCUCUGACCAUUUCCUCACAACCAAGCCUUUUAGCUCCGCCGCUGCUGUCUUUGAUUCCAACCCAACACUUUCUUCUUCCAAUUUUGGGUUUUCCCUUUUCAGCAUCAUCUUCAAUCUUAAUUCCUAUCAAUUGACUAUUCAAAUCAGAUCUCAAAGUUUCUGAGAAGAAAAGAGAAUACGCCUGCUAAUGUAAUUGGAUUACCGAUGAAUGACUUUCCUAUAAUCACGUUUUUCAGGUAAAAUCCUCUGUUUGGCUGCAUAGGAAGGAGCUGAGUAUAGUUUUGAUAUGCCUUAAAAAUCCUCCACUUUUACAAACUUGAAGGAUGAUUGGACCAUACAGUUUGUCGUCAAAUUAGAUCCACAUGUUAUGCAAGAGGAACUUUCAUUUAGUUCGGGUUGAAACUGUAAUAAGGACAGCCACAUGUGUCUCUAAUUAAAAUAGAAAAUGACGAGACUCUAAUAAGGACAACCACAUGCUUAUAAUUGAGGCACUCAACCCUCUAAAAGCCAACUUUUUACUAUACUUGAAGAAUUUGACAAGAGAUCUAACAAAACUUAUGUAGCAUUUUUCACCCAUCAUGUUUAUGAUCAAGGGAUGAUAUCUGAUCUUAUGGUAUUUUUACAAGUCAAAUUGAGACAUAUAUAUUGGAGUUUGCACAUUACUUACUGCAAGGUUUAGAACAACUAUGGUAUGAUAUUAGUGUGCCAAAGUGAAUCAGGAAGAGGCUAAUAUGCCAAUGUAACAUUUGUAAUAUUACCUAAUAUAUAAUAAUAAUUUAUUUUUCUCAGCAAAUUGGCAAGCAAACAUGUUCAAUUGGCAUCAACAUCCCUCCUUUGUUUAGGUCGAAAUCCUUUAAGGGUUACAUGUCAGCUCUCUUUCUUAUUAAUCAUUAUGGUUCACACUUCUCCUAUGCAUAAA